Non-coding RNA from Pelobates cultripes (western spadefoot toad), 567 nucleotides. NCBI's taxonomy places the organism in Eukaryota, Metazoa, Chordata, Amphibia, Anura, Pelobatidae. The record is from the annotation of a GenBank genome assembly.
CUCCUGCGCCGUUUCGUUGGUCUGUGGCGGUGGUUAUGGUGGCCUAGGUCCAGGCUGGAUUAUAUAGGUUGUUUCUGGUUGGGUGGAGGGUGAGUGGCUUGUUGUUUCUGUCCCUCUGGCUUGUUUCAGGUAGUUCUAGGCUCUGUUGGUCUCUGGGGGAAUGCUUUAUAAGGUUUGGUCAGUGGGGUUCCGCUUUGUGUAUGCCCCAUUUCUCCCUGCUUGACUGAUGCCCCUGGCAUGUACCUUGAUUUGCCCAGUGUAGUUCACCAGCAUAGCCUUGGGACGGGCUGCCAUGGUGGUCUGAUGGUGCUGGGUGUGUUUCUCCUCAAGCAGUUCUAUCUUCCAGGCCUUUUGCGCACAUGGCUGGCGGCGGCCAUCUUGUGGAGCUUUGCCCAGUGGAUUUCUCUCGCCGGGGCGGUUGUUUGGGCUCAGCUUAGGGUGGUGUGUGGUGCCCUUGCAGACCGGGAUGACCCCCCCGGUCCAGAGGGGGGGGGGGAGCGACACGUCGGCCGGAGACCCGGGAGAGCGGCCGUCUCGUCCCGGCUCAAGCUCCAGCGAGAACUGGGC